Long non-coding RNA from Planococcus citri (citrus mealybug), 549 nucleotides. RefSeq lists it as uncharacterized. The record is from RefSeq and is a predicted model, not a curated record. Lineage: Eukaryota; Metazoa; Arthropoda; Insecta; Hemiptera; Pseudococcidae. The transcript has 3 exons.
AGGUGUCACAGCAUCUGAUGAACCUGGUUUUGCAAUCGUAUGGACAAAAAGCACAAAAAGUUUACUGUUAGAAUAUUAGAAAUUCGUUCCAAGUCAAAAGACUAUGAAAACCAUCUCAGCGAACAAACAUCAUCAACAGAUGAAUCAGAGGAAAAUCACAGCAGUAUGACAAUAGACAGCCUUAAAUCUAUCCAGUCAACAGAAACUUACAGUAAAAAACUCAAAAAGAAACGUAUUCCACCUAUUUUGGUGAGGCAGAAAUACAUGGGGAGUUCUGCCAAUGGAUCCGUCGAUAUAAGGAUGAUUCCAGACAAUUAUCGGACAUUCCGGAAAGCACUUCCUAAUGAUUGCUUCUUUGUCAUUCCACACCGGAAGAUAUUUACAAAGUGUACCAUCAAUAUCGAAGACUACAACACGGCUUCUAGUUGAUGGAGAUGUAACAGCGUCUGAUGAUCCUGGUUUCACAUUCGUAUGGAAAGAAGCAACAAAAAGUUCAUUGUUAGAGAUUUGUUAUACUUGAAGUUUGAUAAUAAAUACCUAUUGUAAGAA